CAGUCGCCACGGUAAUACAGAGGGUGCAAGCGUUAAUCGGAAUUACUGGGCGUAAAGCGCGCGUAGGUGGUUUGUUAAGUUGGAUGUGAAAUCCCCGGGCUCAACCUGGGAACUGCAUCCAAAACUGGCAAGCUAGAGUAUGGUAGAGGGUGGUGGAAUUUCCUGUGUAGCGGUGAAAUGCGUAGAUAUAGGAAGGAACACCAGUGGCGAAGGCGACCACCUGGACUGAUACUGACACUGAGGUGCGAAAGCGUGGGGAGCAAACAGGAUUAGAUACCCCUGUAGUCCCUGUCUUAUACAC
This 301-nucleotide ribosomal RNA is filed under the name uncultured bacterium. RNAcentral's name for it is "partial 16S ribosomal RNA". It matches the Rfam family "Bacterial small subunit ribosomal RNA", at positions 509 to 809 of the family's 1533-position model. The record is from RNAcentral.